AGUUGACUAACUCUGAUGAUUUCUGUGAUCGGAGCUUCUUCGAGGGAAAGAAAGUCCAACAAGAAACUGGGGACGCUGGAGGGGGCCUCUUGACCCACAAGAUUCAUGUUAGCUUCAAGAGCUAAUCAAGGCCUCUGGAAUCGAGCGAAACUGGUCUGAAGAAGCCAACUGAUCGCCAAUAACAUGAGAGAUUCUGUCUUCCAGUGACUUGGAGGUAGAUUAUGAGUCUGAGGAAAGCGCUUCUAUUGUCUAUGCAGCAUUAGCUGUUGAUAAGGAGUUGCAACCAGAAAAGGUGAAGAGGCAGAUGUCAGUUUCUAAUGGAAAUUAUCAAACUUGUCAAGAAUGGGUUCUGAUCUAGGCCAAACAUCAUCCAGGACCAACAGUGAAAGGUCCUGUCCUGUUUCCUUAAGAAAUAUUUGCAGCCACUUAAUUGCAAUAGUGUCCUCUUGCA
Non-coding RNA from Prunus mume (Japanese apricot), 451 nucleotides. Lineage: Eukaryota; Viridiplantae; Streptophyta; Magnoliopsida; Rosales; Rosaceae. The record is from RefSeq and is a predicted model, not a curated record.